GCUUUUGUAGCACAGCGGUAGUGCAAUCGCUUCGUAAGCGAUAGGUCGUCGGUUCAAAUCCGACCAAAAGCUCCA
RNAcentral lists this transfer RNA (75 nucleotides) under Christensenellaceae bacterium. Its description in RNAcentral is "tRNA-Thr". It matches the Rfam family "tRNA". Rfam says of the family: Transfer RNA (tRNA) molecules are approximately 80 nucleotides in length. Their secondary structure includes four short double-helical elements and three loops (D, anti-codon, and T loops). Further hydrogen bonds mediate the characteristic L-shaped molecular structure. tRNAs have two regions of fundamental functional importance: the anti-codon, which is responsible for specific mRNA codon recognition, and the 3' end, to which the tRNAs corresponding amino acid is attached (by aminoacyl-tRNA synthetases). tRNAs cope with the degeneracy of the genetic code in two manners: having more than one tRNA (with a specific anti-codon) for a particular amino acid; and 'wobble' base-pairing, i.e. permitting non-standard base-pairing at the 3rd anti-codon position. Lineage: Bacteria; Bacillati; Bacillota; Clostridia; Christensenellales; Christensenellaceae. The record is from RNAcentral.